AUGAAAAAAGUAGUAAUUUUUUUAUUCUAAAAAUUGCCAUGCUUAGAAUAUAUGUAGUAAGUUUUUAAAAGUGAAUAACACUACUGAUGUUUUGUAUUUUUUUAUUUAAAUUGGGUUAUACUGGCUCUGUGUUGCCAUUUGACUUAAAUAUAACUGAGUGGGGGGUGGUGAGGAGAUCUUACUUUUUACUGGGAGAAGGAUUAUUGGGGACAAAACUCCUUAGGGAGAAAAUGUCCUCAAAAGUCUGUCUAAAUACUUGAAAUCUCAUUUGCUAUCUGAGAAAAUGUGUAAAAAGAAUCACUAGGCUGCAGAUUUCUCAAGCAAUCUUUUGUUUAAGUCUAACUCUCUUUGGUGGUCCUGUGGGCACACUGGGGUCUCUGCCGAGUUGAUAAUUCAUUUCACACGUUUGCACCUGCUCUGCAGCCUGACUGAGAGGGCGCAACUGCUCAAGAACGUCUUUAAGAAGAACCACGUGAACUUGUACCGCUCUGAAUCCUUGCAACAAAACCUGCUCCAUGGGUAUGCGUUCUCUCAAGAUGAAAAUGGAAUCGUUU
This 554-nucleotide small RNA is filed under the name Pongo abelii (Sumatran orangutan). Its description in RNAcentral is "retained intron". The record is from RNAcentral. Lineage: Eukaryota; Metazoa; Chordata; Mammalia; Primates; Hominidae.